CAGCAGCCGCGGGAAUACAGAGGGUGCGAGCGUUAAUCGGAUUUACUGGGCGUAAAGCGUGCGUAGGCGGCUAAUUGAGUCGGAUGUGAAAUCCCCGAGCUUAACUUGGGAAUUGCAUUCGAUACUGGUUAGCUAGAGUGUGGGAGAGGAUGGUAGAAUUCCAGGUGUAGCGGUGAAAUGCGUAGAGAUCUGGAGGAAUACCGAUGGCGAAGGCAGCCAUCUGGCCUAACACUGACGCUGAGGUACGAAAGCAUGGGGAGCAAACAGGAUUAGAUACCCGAGUAGUCCCUGUCUCUUAUAC
RNAcentral lists this ribosomal RNA (301 nucleotides) under uncultured bacterium. RNAcentral's name for it is "partial 16S ribosomal RNA". It matches the Rfam family "Bacterial small subunit ribosomal RNA", at positions 509 to 807 of the family's 1533-position model. The record is from RNAcentral.